GUCGUAACAAGGUUUCCGUAGGUGAACCUGCGGAAGGAUCAUUACCACACCUCUUUUUCUUAAUAACUUGUCAAUAUGAAUAGACUUUCGGGUUUAAUCAUAAUGCAAGUUAUUAUUAAAAAAACAAGAGAAGGAUGCGACUGUCAUAGGUCAAAUCCGACUUUUGCGUCCCACGGACAAACAAUCAAAUUUGUGGAAUCUUCGGAUUCCCUCAUUUAACAAAAACAUGCAACAUUUCAUAUGUUACCUGAUAUUGAUUUCAAUAAUUUGAAGUUGGUGGGUUUAUUCUCCCCAAUGACAAUACAAAAUUAAUGAAAAAACACUUUCAGCAACGGAUGUCUUGGCUCCCAU
This 351-nucleotide unclassified non-coding RNA is filed under the name fungal sp. RNAcentral describes it as "partial internal transcribed spacer region". The stretch from base 1 to 44 matches the Rfam family "Eukaryotic small subunit ribosomal RNA", at positions 1788 to 1831 of the family's 1831-position model. Lineage: Eukaryota; Fungi. The record is from RNAcentral.